GGAAAAAAAGAAAAAAAAUUGCAGGUAACCCGCAUACCCACUCGCAGGCAGGUAUGGGUAAAGAUGUUGGCUACCCAAAACUUUGCGGGUAAAUUUUAUCCAUGCCCAAGUAACCCGCAGGUACAAUGACCCGCCCGCGGGUUACCCAACCUGUCCGUUUGCCAGGUCUAGGCGCACAUGGCAAGAAGUAAAGGCCUGGAGAUGGUCUCAAUGUUGAGGACGAGGGCAGUAACAUGAGAGGUGAACUCUUGGAAACUCGCUUAAGGAAGGGUCGCUAACGAAAGGGACCAUGGCAAGAAAAAAUUUAGGGUGUGUUUUGUUCGCACUAUGAAAGAUUACUAUGAAUAAAAAGAUGUCCGAGAAUCUUAUUUCUAUUCAUCCUAUUACUAUGAAUAUGACAUUUCUUUGUUUGGUUCGUACGGUCAUAUUAUUUAAUCAUAUUAUUUAAGAUUACAAAAAAUAUAUAAUUAAUUAAUUUAUUUUUUAAUUAAUUUUAGAUAAUGUUAUCAAAAAUUUCAACAUUUUUUUAGAAAAAAGGGAGAGAGAACACAUGUUAGAGAGAGAAAGUAUAAUUAAAGAAAUAGGAAGAGAAAUAGAAUCGAGAUUAGAGGGGGUGAGAGAGUUGAGAUUUUAGAAAAUGAGAGGGAGAGAGCUUAGUUUAGAGAGAGAAAAAGAGUUGAAGUUUAGAGAGAAGAAGCAACCCGCGCUAGAUCAACCUCUAAAGAAAUCAAUCGCGGUGUCGGAACGAUCCUCCAAAGACAAGAAGAAUAACAUGAGAUCGAUCCUCAAAAUCACAAAGUAAAAAAAUAAGAAGAGAAGCUAGAGAGAGAGAA
This 833-nucleotide long non-coding RNA is filed under the name Ananas comosus (pineapple). RNAcentral describes it as "long non-coding RNA (ACOM_LNC021440)". Lineage: Eukaryota; Viridiplantae; Streptophyta; Magnoliopsida; Poales; Bromeliaceae. The record is from RNAcentral.